UGACGGUCCAAACGGUUGCGU
RNAcentral lists this non-coding RNA (21 nucleotides) under Arabidopsis thaliana (thale cress). The record is from RNAcentral. Lineage: Eukaryota; Viridiplantae; Streptophyta; Magnoliopsida; Brassicales; Brassicaceae.